UUCGUGUCUGGCGAUGCGGCGGUGUUCGGGUUCCGCUGGCGGAUGCAGGUUUUUCCGGUGAAGUGCGUGCUUGUGCGUGCUUGACAAGUGUUCGCGAUUGGCUUCCUCAGUGUGGGAGUAACAUCGUGUAAGAGAGGUGGAACCCGUAAAAUUGUAGUUUGCGUGGUGGCUGGUAAGAUUUGUUGCGGUAAGAAGUUUGCAUGGUGGUAAAAUGUCUUGUGAGUCUGCACAGGUAGCCGGAGGUGAGACUUCCGCGGUCGCGGCCCACCCAGUCCGCGAGAACCGGGCAGAUCGCCUCGACGGUACGGAGGCCGGCCGACGGGUCCGCCAAACGACGAGACCACGCCUCCAGCACGGACUGCCGAUAUUGGAGCCCCCGCGCUCCGGCUGCACUUGCGCUAGGGCGCGCCGCCUCGUAGGAGACUGUGAGGUAUCAUUGAAUAACUGCGAUCGCGCGCUGCCGGCGUCGCAGCGCGGCGACGUUCUCGUGGGUAAGGACGUGGCAUCAGACGGGUGCUCCGUAUAGUGCCAUCGACCGCACGGGUACCAUCACCCUGCCUAUUUCUGCCGUGAAGCAGUGGUGUAUUUCGGUUUGAAGGGUGGGGCAGCGGUUGUAACUAUACUGAGACCUUAGAACUUCUAUCUCAAGGUGUGUGGUGCGUUUGCGCUGUGGAUGUCUAUGGGUUCCAAUAACCACUUAACACAAGGUGGGCUGUGAGCUCGUCCACACAUUAAUACGAAGAGCAUAAUCAAACGAAUUUAGAUACGAAGUUUAAAGGGCCGUUUAAAGUAGUUGAAGUAUUGGGUGGUGUCGAUUUAAUUUUGACUCUCACACAUUCGCUUAAGGCUCGAGCUACUACUUGCCUCACAAAAAUACAGCCUGCAAAACCUGAACAACCUCCUCAUCCGUGGGCGCCCGGCUCUCGCCUGCAAGUCGGCUGUUACGUGUGCGGUGAUGCGAGCCAUGUAGCUUCUGGGUGUUCCAUGCGCUACAAGAAGAAAAACGACACUGCUCCAGGUGCUGUGGCAGGUCCAACCAGAGACUUCAACGUGUGUUCCAGAGCUUCAGUGUGUUACAGAUAAGUGGUUUUGGCUCCCCCUUUAUGUUCCAUUCAGGGUCAGAAUGUAGUCUUAUAAAACAAAGCCAUAGUAAUUUAUUCAAUGGUAAGCGGUUUCAUGAACAAGUCACCGUAGUCACCCUAGACACGUCCUUACGGAUCCAUCAGAUCCAAUAACUCUUGCAUUAGAUACCUUCAGCUCUAACACUAGGAGCAGGCUGAGGAACCCCAGUAAUCGUACUCGUCGAACUCGACAAAGAGGUCGACGUGCAACCUAACCCAUGCAUCAGCCCACUGAGUUUCUCGCCGGAUCUUCUCAGUGGGUCGCGAUUCCGAUCCGGUAGUAGAUUCAUUCGCGAAGCAAUUGCUCUUGAGUUGUUAGGUCUCCUGCGGAGGCGCUCGGGCAGUUGUUAGCAAAUCCCACCCCUCUUGGCUGAGCCUUUGCUCGCCCACCCGUCCUGGUGAAGCGGGAAAGGCCUCCGGGCCACCAGUAAUCUUUCAAUCAUCUGCAGUUUUGGAAAACGAUAGGUAUAAGUUGAGACAUGUAAAUGGUUCUAGUGUACAAAGUUCCCCAUGAAAACUUACGCGAAGUACCUCGAGGCCCGUCAGGCCUACUAGAAAUUUCUGAAAAUUAUAGUGACGAUGACGUGACGGCGUACACAGAUGGGUUAAGUAAUCUUGUUCAUGAAACUGAUCUUAAUGAUGACGACUCUAUCACUGACAAUAGAAGCGACAUUUUUGUCCGCAAAUAGCGAUACAGCAAACAUAGUCUGUGGGUAGUGAUACAAUGUCUCUAAGCUCAGGCGCCUCAGGUGCAGGUGUUGGAAAUGUAGAAAACGAUGGUCGGUCUCGCACUAUUUCUGAAGAAAUUCCGUAUAAAUGUUCUAGUUUAAGAAAUGUUUUAACAAACGCUACCGUACACGCAGAUAAAAAAAAAAAAAAAAGAAAAAAAAAAGAGAAUUGUAUGUGGCUAGAGAGAUGUUAAUCCGGACUAGCAAAAAAAAAAAGAGAGAAAAAAAAAAAAAAAGAAAGUGUGAAGUCAUUGAAGGGUUUGUCCGGUCCAAUGGCUUGGCUAUAGGGAUUUUCAUCCAGAUUAGCCACAACAAUUAGCUACAGGGAUUGCGAUUCGGUCUAGCAUUAUCCGGUCCAGUUCGAAAAAACUGAAGGGAUAACAAUUCCGGUCUAAGUUAAAGUUAAAGGGACAUACUUACAUACCUGAAGAGUUUUAAAUGAACUGGCCCAGGUAUGUAAGCAGUCUGAAGGUUAUUUAUAGCCAGUAUAGGAUUUUCUGAAGAAUUAUGCGAACCGAACCGUACUAGAUUGUUAAUAUCAUAGACCACGUUUUAAGUUGCAUCCGUUAAUGUCAGGAUGAACGAACACGUUUGUUGUUCACAGACAUACCAUAAGAAUGCGCGCACGAGGACGAGCGCACGUCAGUAUGGCCGUGACGGCGUUAACGAUAUUUAUGUUAUUAUAACACGUGCAAUAGGAGUGACUCACACAAGCCAGGCGCGCCGGCCGUGUCGUUCCACUCGUAAACAACAGCUGCAACAGAAGUGACUCAUAAGCCAGCUGCGCCGGCUAGUAUAAAAAGGCGGAACGUGCCUUGAAAUGAACAUUCGUUGGACUGCGCUUGCCUGGUGCACUUACUAUAUUCUCGUUACGUUGUGUGAUUCAGUGACUGUUGUACGUACUGGUUAAAGUUGGACAAAGUGUUAAAGUGAAUUGUUAAGAUAACAUAUUGUUGAUUAAAUCGGGAAUCAAAUAGUGA
Bombyx mori (domestic silkworm) is the source of this 2829-nucleotide long non-coding RNA. RefSeq lists it as uncharacterized. Lineage: Eukaryota; Metazoa; Arthropoda; Insecta; Lepidoptera; Bombycidae. The transcript has 2 exons. The record is from RefSeq and is a predicted model, not a curated record.